UGGGGUAUAGCUCAGGCGUAGAGUGCCUGCUUAGCAUGCAGGAGAUCCUGGGUUCAAUCUCCAAUACUUCCA
This 72-nucleotide transfer RNA is filed under the name Camelus bactrianus (Bactrian camel). It matches the Rfam family "tRNA". Rfam says of the family: Transfer RNA (tRNA) molecules are approximately 80 nucleotides in length. Their secondary structure includes four short double-helical elements and three loops (D, anti-codon, and T loops). The record is from Rfam by way of RNAcentral. RNAcentral also lists the same sequence under 3 other names. Lineage: Eukaryota; Metazoa; Chordata; Mammalia; Artiodactyla; Camelidae.